RNAcentral lists this long non-coding RNA (485 nucleotides) under Physcomitrium patens. RNAcentral describes it as "long non-coding RNA (PPAT_LNC002062)". The record is from RNAcentral. Lineage: Eukaryota; Viridiplantae; Streptophyta; Bryopsida; Funariales; Funariaceae.
GUUGGCAAGUCAUGUUAGCAAAAACCUUCUCCAGUGUCUGAACAUAGAAUUCCUUCCUUGUAUAUGAUUUAAAACAUGAAUGUAAACUAUGUUUAAGUGUGUAUGUGUGAGAGACUGUGAGUGAGAGAUAUCAGAGCCUGCGAGACAUAAUAAAUCACUGGCCUCUGCCAUAUGUACCCUCCUACUACUAUAUUUUUCAUGUCAAGUAUCCAGGUGGCGAGUGCUUACUGGCACAUAGUCAGGAAAUAAAGUUAGUUGGGAUUUUUCUUAAGAAGCAGCUUUAGUUCUUUUCCCCGUCAAAGAACUAUUUUUACUUUUUACUUUUUACUUCACUUAUUUUAUUUUAUUUUAUUCAUCUUCCUGUCUACUAGCAAUUGGCAUGUACGAAGUUGUUAUCUCCCUCCAGAAUAUGCUGUGCUAACUUAUUACCUAUGCCCAUGGCCUACUGAGACUCCAGUCCUUUGUAUGCUUGUGUUUAUUUGGUU